AUCAAGAUUCUGAGAUGACAAACUCUUGGCAUUUAGAAUGGUGGCUAGUAAAACUGAGGGAUAUUAGAGAUUAAGUCAGAGAAUACCAGGAAAUUGACUUAGGGAUAGGUAAGUCCCAUUCACAGAGAACUCAGUGUACCUGUUAUGGAAUUUAACAUUUUAGAGAUUUUAUUUUUAGUGUUGAGGAAAAAAGAAACACUAAAAUACGUUCAAGUUGAUCUUCCAUCAAGCAUUUACCUUUGUCUGGUUUUGUUCUUAAAAUUCAGAGUUCUAGUCGUCUACCCAGAUCUUCCACCUUUCGCAAAAAUUAACUUGAAAUGGAUCAUAUAUCUAUGUGUGAAAUAAAGAACUUUAAAAUUUCUAGAAGAAAAUAGAGGGAAAAACUCUGUAUGACCUUAGGUUCAGUGAUGAGUCUUUUUGUUUUUGUUUUUAAUUGAGGUACAGUUGACACACAAUGUUAUAUUGGUUUCAGGUAUGGAACAUAGUGAUUUGACAUUUGUAUACAUUGUGAAAUGGCCACCACAAUAAGUAUGGAUACCAUCUGUCACCUUGCAAAGCUAAUACAAUAUUAUUGACUAUAUUUCUCAUGCUGUAUAUUACAUCCCCAUGACUAAUUUAUUUUAUAACUAGAAGUUUAUAUUUCAUCUUCCUACCUACUCUAUGACAUUCCCAACCCAUCUCCCCUCUGGCAACCACCAAUCUGCCCUCUUAUCUAUUAGUCUAUAUUUUGUUAUGGAAUUUGUUUGUUUUCUUUUUUAGAUUCCACUUGUAAGUGAAAUCAUGUGGUAUUUCUUUCUCUGUCUGACUUAUUUCACUCUACAUAAUACCAUGUCCUCACAGAUGACAAGAUUUCAUUCUUUUUUAUAGCUGGGUAGUGUUCCACUGUGAAUAAAUAUAUAUAUUUAUUCCUGUCAGUGGACACAGGUGGGUUCCAUAUCUUGGCUAUUGUAAAUAAUGCAGCAAUGAAUAUAGAGGUGCUUGUAUCUUUUGAAUUAGUGUUUUCUUUUUUUUUUUUUUUUUGGUAUAGAUAUCCAGCAGUAGAAUUGCAAGAUCAUAUGGUGGCUCUGUGUUUCGUUUUUUGAGGCAAUGCCAUACUGUUUUCCGCAGCAGCUAUACCAAUUUACUUUCCCAGCAACGUGGCAGAACCAUUCCCUUUUCUCCACAUUCUUGCAGAACUUGUUAUUUCUUGUCUUUUUGAUAAUAGCCAUUCUGAAAGAUGGGAGUUAAUAUUUCACUGUGGUCUUGGUCUGCAUUUCCCUGAUGAUUGAUGAUGUUGAGCAUCUUUCCAUGUGUCUAUAGGCCAUCUGUAUGUCUUCUUUGGAAAAAUGUCUAUUCAGGUCCUCUGCCCAUUGUAAUCUAGUUGCUUGAUUUUUUUUGUGUUGUAUGAGCUCUUGUAUAUUUUGGAUAUUAACCACUUAUCAGAUGUAUCAUUUGCAAAUAUCUACUCCCAUUCAGUAGGCAGCCUUUUCAUUUUGUUGAUAGAUUCCCUUGCUGUGUAAAUCUUUUUUGUUUUCUGUGGUCCCUUUUGUUUAUUAUUGGUUUUGUUUCUCUCACCUUUGCAGUCAGAUCCAAAAAAAAUCACUGCCCAGUCUGAAGUCAAGGAACUUACUGCCUGCACUUUCUUUUAAGAGUUUUAUAGCUUCAGUACUUACUUAAAUCCAUGUUGAGUUAAUUUUUGAAUAUGGUAUAGAACAGUGAUCCAGUUAUUGUGUUCUUCAGCUCUGUCAUGUCUCUUUGGGGCUUUCUAGUGUUUUCUCUUUGUUGAAGUUUUCACUAUGUUCUUUUAUACUGUGUUGUAGGGAGCAUUUAUCUCAUCUUCAGACCUUUUUCAGGAGGAAAUGAUUCUUAUGUAGCUGUAGAUUUAGUAUGUCCAUAUGAGGAGGUGAGCUCAGAGUCUUCCUUGAUCUCCGUCUUGGACUCCUACUGAUGAGCUUUAGAAACAACCCAUGGUUCAUGAAAGACAAAAAAUGGAUAUGUUGAACUUUAUUAAAAUAGAAACUUCUUGUUGGUAAAGGAUACUAUUAAGAUAAUAAAAAUUCAAGUCACAGACUUUAUUUUUAUCUAAAGCAUACCCCAAAUCCUUAAAACUCAAUAAUAAGAAAACGAAGAACUCGGUUGAAAAUUUUCUGUGGUUCCAAACUACACUAAACUACACUAACAUAAAGCAUUUGUUUAAAAAUCUCAUGGUUGUAGUUUCAUAUUUUUCUUCCAAAUUUUUUGUUUGUUUUUUGUCUUUUUAGGGCCAUACCUCCUGGGAACCUCCAUAUGCUGCAAGAGUGGCACAAGAAAUGGCAAAAAGCCAAAAAAAAAAAAAAAAAAAAAGAAAAAGAAAAAGAAAAGAAAAGAAAAGAAAAAAAAAGAAAAGAAAACAAAGGUGGAGUUGCCAUUGUGGCUCACUGGGAACAAACACGACUGGUAUUCAUGAGGAUGCAUGCUCAAUACCUGGUCCCACUCAUUGGGUUAAGCAUCCGGCGUUGCCCUGAGCUACAGCAUAGGUGUAGGUUGCAGAUGCGGCUCAGAUCUGCUAUUGCUGUGGCUGUGGCAUAGGCCGGCAGCUGCAAUUUGAUCCCUAGUCUGGGAGCUUCCAUAUGUCUUACCUGCAGCCCUGCAAAUAAAAAAAAAAA
This 2624-nucleotide long non-coding RNA is filed under the name Sus scrofa (pig). RNAcentral's name for it is "lncRNA (ENSSSCG00015044792.1)". Lineage: Eukaryota; Metazoa; Chordata; Mammalia; Artiodactyla; Suidae. The record is from RNAcentral.